GUGGGGAAUAUUGGACAAUGGGCGAAAGCCUGAUCCAGCCAUGCCGCGUGUGUGAAGAAGGUCUUCGGAUUGUAAAGCACUUUAAGUUGGGAGGAAGGGCAGUAAGUUAAUACCUUGCUGUUUUGACGUUACCGACAGAAUAAGCACCGGCUAACUUCGUGCCAGCAGCCGCGGUAAUACGAAGGGUGCAAGCGUUAAUCGGAAUUACUGGGCGUAAAGCGCGCGUAGGUGGUUUUGUAAGUUGGAGGUGAAAUCCCCGGGCUCAACCUGGGAACUGCCUCCAAAACUGCAGGACUAGAGUACGGUAGAGGGUAGUGGAAGUUCCUGUGUAGCGGUGAAAUGCGUAGAUAUAGGAAGGAACACCAGUGGCGAAGGCGACUACCUGGACUGAUACUGACACUGAGGUGCGAAAGCGUGGGGAGCAAACAGGAUUAGAUACCCGAGUAGUCC
This 450-nucleotide ribosomal RNA is filed under the name uncultured bacterium. RNAcentral's name for it is "bacterial SSU rRNA". It matches the Rfam family "Bacterial small subunit ribosomal RNA", at positions 354 to 796 of the family's 1533-position model. The record is from RNAcentral.